UGACAGGCAACAGGCAGGGGGAACUCAGGUACCUGAAGUUGUAGCUGCUUCUUUUAAUAAUUUAUUGCGUCUUGUUAACGCGCCAUAUUCUAGACGUUAACUUUACGAGCUCAUAGCUUCACUUCUUGCGCGUCCACCCUGCGAACGCUAAGUCAUUAAGCUAGUGACAGUUAGCUUCAGCUUUUAGCCUCCAUGACAGCUGCUGUGGAAGAACCGGGGAGACGACAGGUGACUCGACAGGUGACCCGUGUGUGAGCAGCCAUAGAGCCGCUUCAGGAGAAUUAAAGCUCAACUGAUGACCCCGUACAAGUCUUCCUGGCAAAUCCUUCGGUGGUGCUUUUUACUGACUACAGUGUGGGACAUGUUUAUGAGACAACACUGGAGCUGAAAAACUUGACUUCCUCAAGCCGUCAUAUCCGAGUCAACCCACCUACCACUCCUUACUUCUCUAUUGGCCUGGGUGAGUGCUUCCUUAUUGCUCUGUAUGGAUAAUACAGCCUUCUGGGGCCCUCCUCUUUGUGAGGAAGUCAUCAAAUAUAUCAAGAAUCAGUGAUGGUAUCAAAAAGGAAUGCCCGAGUUUUCACCAUAGACUGUAAAUAUAGAUGGACAAUGAUUCUCCACUUCUUCCAGUCCAAAAAAAAGCUGAAGUAUCCUCGAUAUCGGUGCCGCCAUCUUGCGCUUUUGACGACUUGACAGAAGCAAUCUUUGAGAAAGAUAUAUUUAACGUCGAUCUCUAACUCUCACAAAUCAGUGAGUGUCAUCUUACAAUAUGGAGACUAAAACUACCUCGUUUUGGAGUUUUCGUCACACGGUGUGACCGUGGCGUAGGUGUCAAAUUUUGAUGAGUCGCCAUCAAAACACGAGGUUGUUGUAUCUCGGACAUACAUGGUCCAAUCUACUCCAAACUAGGCAGGUUUGACAAUAAUCCUGGCCUGAUGACAUCUACACAGAAAUCAUUACUUAAAAUCACA
Hippoglossus stenolepis (Pacific halibut) is the source of this 971-nucleotide long non-coding RNA. RefSeq lists it as uncharacterized. The transcript is spliced from 3 exons. NCBI's taxonomy places the organism in Eukaryota, Metazoa, Chordata, Actinopteri, Pleuronectiformes, Pleuronectidae. The record is from RefSeq and is a predicted model, not a curated record.